GCUUGGGCCACACUGGAGGAGGAGAUAGCAAUGCUCUCCCCAAAAGAAGAGCCAGACAAAACAAGUAAGGAUGUCCUGAACAAAUUAAUGCCAUUAAGGAGACCCUUGAAGCCCUGUUUCUUCUUAGAGGAAUCAAUUUUUUAUCAUUUGUUUUUCUUGAAUGAUGAGACGAAAUUACCAAUUUCAAGUGAUCCAUCCAUUUAUGAAAACAAGCCCAAUCAAGAUCUACUAUUCUAAAUGAAAAAUUAACUUUGUUAGCAAAGUCCAGUUACUGAAUAAAACUGAAGAAGGCAUAUUCUCAGAGAAAUUUUUAAAGAUGAGAUAGUGAGAUUCCAUGCAGAGCCAGCACAAGCUGUAAUUACAAGAGGAAAGAGCCCAACUACUGACUCUUGAAUGAGUAAGUGAUCACAUAGGACUAAUUUGUCUCCCCAAUUUUUUGUCCACUUUCUCAUUUCAAGAUGAUGAAUGUUAAUCUUUUAUUAAUCUUCUCACUCUUACUUAAUACUGAAAGAGAGCAUGCUGCAUUGUGCAUUACCACUUCCUUCCUUGGCCUGGAAGUUGCCUGGCAUCUAGGAAGAAAACACAAUGGUGCAGACCACGGGCUCUGGAGCAAGACCGCCCAAGCAGGAACCCUGGACUCAACAUGAUCAGCAGUAACCUUGACCAAGUUAUUUAACCUCUCUACACCUCAUUUUCAUUACUAUAAGAUGGAGCUAUUCAUAGUACCCUUGCCUCAGUGUUGUUGGAAAGAUUAAAUUAUUAAUAUGCAUAAAGUGCCUACCACAGCACUUUGCUGUACAACUUGCUGUUUAACUGUUUGUUAUUCUGUAUGUACAGGAACGAGGAAGUAGCAGGCCCGGAUCCCUAGGGGAAUCAUUACUGCUGGAUAGUCAGAGGAGAUUUAAAAAUGAAGACUUCAGAAAACUCCAUUAGUUGCUACGAAAUGUCUCAGUAUUUUUUCCUCCCAUACAACAAAUAUAUAUAAUUAGUUUUUUGUAUGAGACAGUCCUUUCAACCUAAUAAAUAUGUAUGACCCUCAUAGUAGUAGUUAGAA
RNAcentral lists this long non-coding RNA (1054 nucleotides) under Vulpes vulpes (red fox). RNAcentral describes it as "lncRNA (ENSVVUG00000010717.1)". The record is from RNAcentral. Lineage: Eukaryota; Metazoa; Chordata; Mammalia; Carnivora; Canidae.